This 427-nucleotide ribosomal RNA is filed under the name uncultured bacterium. Its description in RNAcentral is "bacterial SSU rRNA". It matches the Rfam family "Bacterial small subunit ribosomal RNA", at positions 917 to 1344 of the family's 1533-position model. The record is from RNAcentral.
GGGCCCGCACAAGCGGUGGAGCAUGUGGUUUAAUUCGAUGCAACGCGAAGAACCUUACCUGGUCUUGACAUACACAGAAUCUUGUAGAGAUACGAGAGUGCCUUCGGGAAUUGUGAUACAGGUGCUGCAUGGCUGUCGUCAGCUCGUGUCGUGAGAUGUUGGGUUAAGUCCCGCAACGAGCGCAACCCUUGUCCUUAGUUACCAGCGGGUUAAGCCGGGAACUCUAAGGAUACUGCCAGUGACAAACUGGAGGAAGGCGGGGACGACGUCAAGUCAUCAUGGCCCUUACGACCAGGGCUACACACGUGCUACAAUGGUAGGUACAGAAAGCAGCCACUUGGUGACAAGGAGCUAAUCUCUAAAAGACGUCUCAGUUCGGAUUGUUCUCUGCAACUCGCCUACGUGAAGGCGGAAUCGCUAGUAAUCG